Molecule: RNase P RNA, 353 nt
Filed under: Actinomycetota bacterium
Lineage: Bacteria; Bacillati; Actinomycetota
Description: Actinobacteria bacterium partial RNase P RNA component class A
Rfam family: Bacterial RNase P class A
About the family: Ribonuclease P (RNase P) is a ubiquitous endoribonuclease, found in archaea, bacteria and eukarya as well as chloroplasts and mitochondria.
Source: RNAcentral
UGAGUUGGCCGGGUGGUCGCGGCUUGCUCGGUUCGCCGAGUGGGUUGAGGAAGGUCGGGGCUCCACAGGGCAGGAUGCUGGCUAACGGCCAGCCGGGGUGACCCGCGGGAAAGUGCCACAGAGAACAGACCGCCGAUGGCCGCCUCCGGGUGGCACAGGUGAGGGUGAAACGGUGCGGUAAGAGCGCACCAGCGACCCGGGCGACCGGGCUGGCUCGGCAAACCCCAUCCGGAGCAAGGUUAAGCAGGGAGAGGGCGGCCCGCCCGCUGACACUCCCAGGUGAACCGCACAGAUGGAUGGCCACACAGCCGGACCUCCGCAAGGAACCGGUGGACAGAACCCCGCCUACAGGC